CCACUGAGGGCCUGCGCCGGCCUUGCUGUAGUCCUAGCCUCUCUUCUUGGUCAUCUUCUCCCCCUUCCUAUGCUUUCAUUUUUGGGUCCCCAUUUAGGCUACUUGGCCAAUGGGAAAGGGGAUCUCUUCCAAAAUUUGAAGGAGCUUUAUUGAGUCUUGACUAGCUUUAUAAGACCCAGUACAAGCGGGAAGAAAAGCCUAAGACUUGGAAACUGUCAAACUGAAGCCAUGUGCAAGCCAUCAAACAGAUCCCUUUAGCAAAGUGCAGAAGAUGUACUUAUUCAAGUAUCCAGUGGACUUCCCAACAAAACAGCAACUUGAUGGGACAAGAGGAGGCCUCCUGGGACUACAUCUAGCACCAAGGUUCUUGUCAUCCUGAAAAGAGAAUUGGACAAGAAAACAUGCAAAAGAGUCCAAGGGCCAAAUCCAGACCAGUUUUUUUAAAAAAGAAUGUGGCCCAGAGAUAAGUGAAGGUCAGCUUCACUCUAGAAGAGUCAGAGAGAGGGGGAAACCCGCAGCCCUAGAACGUCUGUCUUGGAAUGCAGUAGCCACAAAGAGAACUGCUUGAAGUACGAGAACCAAAUCUCAGCCAUCUCAAGGGGCAGAAAGACAACUAAGACCAGAAGCUUUCUGAGGGUGCAUCUCCAGUCUUUUGCAAAACAUGCCUCCAAAGACAAAAGCUAUGAUUGAUUUCAGUCACAUUGUCA
This 707-nucleotide long non-coding RNA is filed under the name Heterocephalus glaber (naked mole-rat). RNAcentral describes it as "lncRNA (ENSHGLG00100032850.1)". The record is from RNAcentral. Lineage: Eukaryota; Metazoa; Chordata; Mammalia; Rodentia; Bathyergidae.